Molecule: transfer RNA, 71 nt
Filed under: bacterium
Lineage: Bacteria
Description: tRNA-Pro
Rfam family: tRNA
About the family: Transfer RNA (tRNA) molecules are approximately 80 nucleotides in length. Their secondary structure includes four short double-helical elements and three loops (D, anti-codon, and T loops). Further hydrogen bonds mediate the characteristic L-shaped molecular structure. tRNAs have two regions of fundamental functional importance: the anti-codon, which is responsible for specific mRNA codon recognition, and the 3' end, to which the tRNAs corresponding amino acid is attached (by aminoacyl-tRNA synthetases). tRNAs cope with the degeneracy of the genetic code in two manners: having more than one tRNA (with a specific anti-codon) for a particular amino acid; and 'wobble' base-pairing, i.e. permitting non-standard base-pairing at the 3rd anti-codon position.
Source: RNAcentral
CGGGGUGUAGUAUAACGGUAGUAUGCAGGUUUCGGGAAUCUGCGGCCUGAGUUCAACUCUCAGCACCCCGA